UCCACUUUUCUAGAACCCAAAACGGAACUAAAUCACAUUUAUUUAAUAUAAUUAAAA
RNAcentral lists this transfer RNA (57 nucleotides) under uncultured Geminigera. The record is from RNAcentral. Lineage: Eukaryota; Cryptophyceae; Pyrenomonadales; Geminigeraceae.